GACGAACGCUGGCGGCGUGCUUAACACAUGCAAGUCGAACGAAGAGCGACGGAAGCUUGCUUCUAUCAAUCUUAGUGGCGCACGGGUGAGUAACGCGUAAUCAACCUGCCCUUCAGAGGGGGACAACAGUUGGAAACGACUGCUAAUACCGCAUACGAUCUAAUCUCGGCAUCGAGGAUGGAUGAAAGGUGGCCUCUACAUGUAAGCUAUCACUGAAGGAGGGGAUUGCGUCUGAUUAGCUAGUUGGAGGGGUAACGGCCCACCAAGGCGAUGAUCAGUAGCCGGUCUGAGAGGAUGAACGGCCACAUUGGGACUGAGACACGGCCCAGACUCCUACGGGAGGCAGCAGUGGGGAAUCUUCCGCAAUGGACGAAAGUCUGACGGAGCAACGCCGCGUGAGUGAUGACGGCCUUCGGGUUGUAAAGCUCUGUUAAUCGGGACGAAAGGCCUUCUUGCGAAUAGUGGGAAGGAUUGACGGUACCGGAAUAGAAAGCCACGGCUAACUACGUG
RNAcentral lists this ribosomal RNA (510 nucleotides) under uncultured bacterium. Its description in RNAcentral is "partial 16S ribosomal RNA". It matches the Rfam family "Bacterial small subunit ribosomal RNA", at positions 28 to 507 of the family's 1533-position model. The record is from RNAcentral.